RNAcentral lists this ribosomal RNA (144 nucleotides) under uncultured archaeon. RNAcentral describes it as "partial 16S ribosomal RNA". It matches the Rfam family "Archaeal small subunit ribosomal RNA", at positions 330 to 474 of the family's 1478-position model. The record is from RNAcentral.
GCGCAGCAGGCGCGAAACCUCCGCAAUGCGAGCAAUCGCGACGGGGGGACCCCAAGUGCUACUCUUAACGGGGUAGCUUUUCUAAAGUGUAAAAAGCUUCAGGAAUAAGGGCCGGGCAAGACCGGUGCCAGCAGCCGCGGUAAU